Molecule: ribosomal RNA, 461 nt
Filed under: uncultured Methylobacterium sp.
Lineage: Bacteria; Pseudomonadati; Pseudomonadota; Alphaproteobacteria; Hyphomicrobiales; Methylobacteriaceae
Description: bacterial SSU rRNA
Rfam family: Bacterial small subunit ribosomal RNA
Source: RNAcentral
CCCUGGCUCAGGUUGAACGCUGGCGGCAGGCCUAACACAUGCAAGUCGAGCGGGCCCUUCGGGGUCAGCGGCAGACGGGUGAGUAACGCGUGGGAACGUGCCCUUUGGUUCGGAAUAACUCAGGGAAACUUGAGCUAAUACCGGAUACGCCCUUUUGGGGAAAGGCUUGCUGCCGAAGGUUCGGCCCGCGUCUGAUUAGCUGGUUGGUGAGGUUAUGGCUCACCAAGGCGACGAUCAGUAGCUGGUCUGAGAGGAUGAUCAGCCACACUGGGACUGAGACACGGCCCAGACUCCUACGGGAGGCAGCAGUGGGGAAUAUUGGACAAUGGGGGCAACCCUGAUCCAGCCAUGCCGCGUGAGUGAUGACGGCCUUAGGGUUGUAAAGCUCUUUUCUCCGGGACGAUAAUGACGGUACCGGAGGAAUAAGCCCCGGCUAACUUCGUGCCAGCAGCCGCGGUAAU